Molecule: ribosomal RNA, 446 nt
Filed under: uncultured bacterium
Lineage: Bacteria
Description: partial 16S ribosomal RNA
Rfam family: Bacterial small subunit ribosomal RNA
Source: RNAcentral
GGCCAGACCCCUACGGGAGGCAGCAGUGGGGAAUAUUGCACAAUGGGGGGAACCCUGAUGCAGCGACGCCGCGUGGGUGAAGAAGUCAUUCGUGACGUAAAGCCCUGUCAGCAGGGAAGAAAAUGACGGUACCUGAAGAAGAAGCCCCGGCUAACUACGUGCCAGCAGCCGCGGUAAUACGUAGGGGGCAAGCGUUAUCCGGAUUUACUGGGUGUAAAGGGGGCGCAGACGGCGAUGCAAGCCAGGAGUGAAAGCCCGGGGCCCAACCCCGGGACUGCUCUUGGAACUGCGUGGCUGGAGUGCAGGAGGGGCAGGCGGAAUUCCUGGUGUAGCGGUGAAAUGCGUAGAUAUCAGGAGGAACACCGGUGGCGAAGGCGGCCUGCUGGACUGCAACUGACGUUGAGGCCCGAAAGCGUGGGGAGCAAACAGGAUUAGAUACCCGAGUA